This 841-nucleotide long non-coding RNA is filed under the name Malus domestica (apple). Its description in RNAcentral is "long non-coding RNA (MDOM_LNC004782)". The record is from RNAcentral. Lineage: Eukaryota; Viridiplantae; Streptophyta; Magnoliopsida; Rosales; Rosaceae.
UGAUUGAUAACUUAUUCUUGUAUGUUAAUUAAGGAUGCAUACUUAGUUUCCAUGCAGGGAUUUGAUGCUAGGAUAUAAGGGAAUUUCACCUAACAGUUAUGAACUUAUAUUCAUAAGUAGUGGAGGUUGCUAGUCACAAUCGUGUUAAGUAGAUUCCUGGCAGGAGUAUCAUGCUCAUCAUAGUUACGAAUGUUUUGUCAAUACUUAUGAUUUUCACAAAGCUUAAUGAUCUUUGAUUGUAUCUUUAUUAUGCUUUUCAUGUAGGGAACUUUUGAAGAAUAAUUUGAGUUGCCGAUGCGUUAUCCAUCCAAUUCAAUGACUUAAGGAAGAUCUGAGGGUUAAUUAGUGCUGUUCACGGUUAAUAUGGGGCGUUGAGGUUCAUGGUUUAUUGGAAAAGCAACUAGAAAUCGUUUUGUAUGCAAGUGUGUCAUGUGUGGCGAAGAACCCUCUAGCUGGCUUAUCACCCAUCCAUUUACCCCAAUUUCGUGCCAAAAUCUGUUUAAGUCUUUAGUUUACUUGUUUUACUUUAAAUUCGUCAAAAACCCAAUCCCUUUUACUUUAUUGUGUCAAAUUAGUUAGAAUCUAUCCAAACUUGUGUUUUAAGUGUUUUAAAGUGUUUUGAGUCAAGUUAAAGUCAAUUUUCGUCCGAAUCACCUCUUAAUGUCUAGUUUGCGUCUAUUUGAUUGUUUUGAGUCUUUUUAGUUUGUUUUGAGUUCUUUGAGUCUAGUUAAGUGUUUUCAAGCCUAGUUUUAUGUUUUUAAGUCAGUUUUAAGUAGAUUAGCAAUCCCUCCUAAUCCCCAGUCUAGAACGAUCCCUACUUACAUCUUUACUACAAUUGUCA